UGAAGAUUAGUGUGGGGUGUGAUUUGUUUUAGGCCUAGUUAUGAUUUGGCAUGUUGUGGUCUAGAUUAUUUGUCAUUGAGAUCUUGUUUAUUAAUAGCUUUGUGACAUAGAUUAUUUGUCUUUCUUGGAAGUAGGUUCACACACAUUCGCUCGGUUUUAACCUCUCUCUUCUGGACUGGGAGCAUAAUUCACCCUUGUGUUUAUACUUAUAGAGGCAUGUUGUUUGGUCGGCUAUCUCUUUAAGAUUUGUUGGUGCCUUAUUUGUAUUC
Molecule: long non-coding RNA, 269 nt
Filed under: Lathyrus oleraceus (garden pea)
Lineage: Eukaryota; Viridiplantae; Streptophyta; Magnoliopsida; Fabales; Fabaceae
Description: Pisum sativum (pea) long non-coding RNA (PSAT_LNC029076)
Source: RNAcentral